UCUGACCGAGCAACGCCGCGUGAGUGAAGAAGGUUUUCGGAUCGUAAAACUCUGUUGUUAGAGAAGAACAAGGACGUUAGUAACUGAACGUCCCCUGACGGUAUCUAACCAGAAAGCCACGGCUAACUACGUGCCAGCAGCCGCGGUAAUACGUAGGUGGCAAGCGUUGUCCGGAUUUAUUGGGCGUAAAGCGAGCGCAGGCGGUUUCUUAAGUCUGAUGUGAAAGCCCCCGGCUCAACCGGGGAGGGUCAUUGGAAACUGGGAGACUUGAGUGCAGAAGAGGAGAGUGGAAUUCCAUGUGUAGAGGUGAAAUGCGCAGAGAUAUGGAGGAACACCAGUGGCGAAGGCGACUUUCUGGUCUGUAACUGACGCUGAUGUGCGAAAGCGUGGGGAUCAAACAGGAUUAGAUACCCUGGUAGUCCACGCCGUAAACGAUGAGUGCUAAGUGUUAGGGGUUUCCGCCCCUUAGUGCUGCAGCUAACGCAUUAAGCACUCCGCCUGGGGAGUACGACCGAAGGUUGAAACUCAAARGAAUUGACGGGGACCCGCACAAGCGGUGGAGCAUGUGGUUUAAGUCGAAGCAACGCGAAGAACCUUACCAAAUCUUGACAUCCUUUGACAACUCUAGAGAUAGAGCCUUCCCCUUCGGGGGACAAAGUGACAGGUGGUGCAUGGUUGUCGUCAGCUCGUGUCGUGAGAUGUUGGGUUAAGUCCCGCAACGAGCGCAACCCUUAAGCUUAGUUGCCAUCAUUAAGUUGGGCACUCUAAGUUGACUGCCGGUGACAAACCGGAGGAAGGUGGGGAUGACGUCAAAUCAUCAUGCCCCUUAUGAUUUGGGCUACACACGUGCUACAAUGGACAAUACAAAGGGCAGCGAAACCGCGAGGUCAAGCAAAUCCCAUAAAGUUGUUCUCAGUUCGGAUUGUAGUCUGCAACUCGACUACAUGAAGCUGGAAUCGCUAGUAAUCGUAGAUCAGCAUGCUACGGUGAAUACGUUCCCGGGUCUUGUACACACCGCCCGUCACACCACGAGAGUUUGUAACACCCGAAGCCGGUGGAGUAACCUUUUAGGAGCUAGCCGUCGAAGGUGGGACAAAUGAUUGGGGUGAAGUCGUAACAAGGUAGCCGUAUCGGAAGGUGCGGCUGGAUCACCUCCUUUCUAAGGA
This 1166-nucleotide ribosomal RNA is filed under the name Staphylococcus aureus. Its description in RNAcentral is "bacterial SSU rRNA". It matches the Rfam family "Bacterial small subunit ribosomal RNA", at positions 382 to 1533 of the family's 1533-position model. Lineage: Bacteria; Bacillati; Bacillota; Bacilli; Caryophanales; Staphylococcaceae. The record is from RNAcentral.